CGCUAGAGUUCAUCUGAGCGAGUCCCCCUCAAAAAAAUAACUCUUAACUUGCCGCUGCCGUCGGAGUUCGCCGCCGCCGUCGAGCCCUGAUUUUCCCCGCCGCUGUCGAGCCCUAAAGUUUGUCGUCACCGUCGAGCCUGCAGUUCGCCGCUAAGUCCCGUCAAUUAGGUUGGUAUGGCAUGUGACUAUAUCAGAGUUAAGGAUUGGAUGUAUGUGAAUCGUGAAAAACGCACAAAGCCUGAAUUCAUUGAAGGAGUUGCUUCUUUCAUAAAAUUUGUACGUGAACACGAUAGGAUCCAAUAUGGGAUGAUCCUUUGUCCAUGCAGUCACUGUGGGAAUAGGUUGCAUCGUAAGGAGGAAGAUGUAGAACUUGACAUUGUUAAGCAUGGUUUUAUUAGGGAUUAUACAAUUUGGGUAUAUCACGGAGAAAUCCUAGCUCCUAAUAUUGUCGAUAAUGAAGAAGAAUAAAGAAAAUUUAUUUCCAGAAGAGGAGAUGGAGGAAAUGGUAGAAGUUACUUUUGGUGGCUCUAAUCUUACUGAAGAUGAUCAUCCUUCCGAACAAGAACAUGUAGAUGUGUAUGAGAAGUACAUGAAAGAUGCCAAUAGACCAAUUUAUGAGAAUGCAAAAUAUUCCACACUAUCAUGGUUCGUUCAACUUUUCCAGAUUAAAUGCCUAAAUAAAUGGAACAACAAGUCAUUUACGAUGCUUCUAAAAUUCUUGAAAUAUUCAAUUCCUCCGGGAAACAAUGUGCCUCAGAGCUGGUAUGUAGCUAAAAGGAUAAUGUCUGAUCUGGGUUUGAAUUGUGAGAAGAUUCAUGCAUGUCCUAAUGAUUGUGUGAUGUUCUGGAAAGAAAAUUCUAAACUGAAAGAGUGCCCUAAUUGUGGAGUUUCUAGAUAUAAGAAGAAAGCACAUGCUAACAAAAAAGACAUACCUGUCAAGGUGGUACGAUACUUUCCUGUGACACAGAGGCUACAGAGGCUCUACAGGUGUAAGAAGACAGUGGUGGCAAUGACCUGGCAUGACCGUGCUAUUCCAAGUGAAGAUGGUAAAAUGAUUCAUCCAAGAGAUUUGCCAGCAUGGAAGGAUUUUGACAAGUUGCACACAACAUUUAGUCAGGAUCCCCAUAAUAUUAGGCUCGGACUAGCUAGCGAUGGUUUCUGCCACUUUAGUUUUAAUGGCAAUCCGCACAGUACAUGAUCUGUUAUAAUGAUGAUAUAUAAUCUUUCACUGUGGUUAGCGAUGGAUCAAUCAUACUUUCUAAUGCCUCUUCUUAUUGAUAGGCCGAGUUCACCGGGUAACAAUAUCGACGUCUACCUUCGACCUCUCAUCGAUGAGUUACUGUCUUUAUUCAUUGAUGGUGUAAAGACAUAUGAUGCAGACAAAGGGGAAACAUUCACAAUGCGUGCAGCCUUAAUGUGGACAAUUAACGACUUUCCUGCAUAUGGAAUGCUAUCAGGUUAUUCUGUACAUGGUUAUAAAGCAUGUCCUUACUGUCAUGCCGAUACAUCAUCAGCAUGGUUGCCCUUUAGCAAAAAGAUUUGUUAUUACGGUUAUCGAUGUAUGUUGGAAGAAAAUCAUCCCAAUAGAGAUGAUGUUGUUCACUUUGAUGGUACUACAGAGCAUAGAAAGGCUCCAGCCCCCUUAUCCAAAAAGGACAUACUUACUCAGUGGAAUGUUUACGGAAAUGUAACUUUCGGGAAAGUAAAGGAAAGACAGUAAAGGUCACAAGGAUGGAACAAAAAAUUAUUUUCUUUGAAUUGUCGUAUUGGAAAGACAAAUAAAGCCAAUCAAUUAAGGCCCGAUCCUGAGAAGAAUGAACCAGCAUUCCUCUUGCACUUUGAUGAGUAUUUUCGUAUCACAGGCCCCAAUGCUGAGAGAUUUGGAUAGUAUGUGGCAAGUGAGCCGUCAAUACAUGGACUUCCCACUUUAUAAGAACUGGGGCCCGGAUCAUGAGCAUUCAUUUGAUAAGUUCUUUCUCCAAGCCCAGGUUUAAAUACAUUUUUAAUCUAUUUUUGUCCUCGUAAAACUAGCAAGAUUUUAUUCAAUUCUCAUGUAUACGUCACUGACCACGAACUAGACUCUUUAGAUAUUUGUACAUGAAUUCAUGUAAAGUGUUUAAUGUUUUUUUGUUAAAUAUGCAGAAAGAUUAUGAGUUUCUUCCUGUAGAUCCUUAUUGUCCUCUUAAUCUUCCUGCUAUACAUCGAGGUGUGAAGAUAAAGAUGCAGGAGAGAGUCUGAGGCAAUCAAAAUCAGGUGAAGAAUGAGUGUUAUGAACUAUGGCUGGAAACUCCCCAAGAGAAAAGAGAUGAUCUUUUCAAGACAGAGGUGUUCAAAAGGAUCGAUAAAAAAUGGUAGGACGACAUCUGUAAGUUUUUUUCUUCUAAUAGGAAGCAGGUAUAUGGUUAACAAAUAAUUCAAUGAUUAGCAUGUACUUAUUUUUGGAUCACAAUCUAAAUCUUAUAUUUUUGUACAGGCGGAGGUAAAAAGAAAUAAAGAUAAUCGGCAGUCAAAGAAGCGAGGUCGACCAACCUAUACGGGUGGCUCGAGGAACAUAGUCUAGGCAAAACAGAGAGUGAGAGCUCGGAUCGAAGAAUCGGGUGGUAGCUCAAGUGCAUUAAAGGAGUAUUUGGGUACCCACGUGACGUUAGUCGAUCCAGUAGCUGAUACAUAUUCAUGUACAUAUCCCGACACCCAAACUCAGGAGUAUUGUGCUCGGGUGAUAGAAAGGGACAAAUCAUUAGAGAUCGACCGAGAACCCAAAUCUACUGCAAUGACCACGGUCAUAGAUGAUGUACAUGAAGGGCAUAAUGGUGGUUAUGAGAGAGGUUUGGGUCACGAUGUCACUAGAUUUUAUUUGAAGACUUCCUCCACUCCGACCUUCGCUACUCCUCCUGAUGUGCUUCGUGAGAUGGCGGAGCUUAAAGGCAAGAUGGAACGACUAACCCAGCUUGUGCGUAUGGUUACUUUAAUAUAACUUUAUUUUCAAUUCAGAAAAUAAUUUUUUUUCUGGAAUACUUUCAUAAGCUCAAUAACUAUGAAGGCAUAUUUCCAAAAAGACAGAGGAAGCUUAUGAGAGGGAGAGGGAGUC
Molecule: long non-coding RNA, 3088 nt
Organism: Asparagus officinalis (garden asparagus)
Lineage: Eukaryota; Viridiplantae; Streptophyta; Magnoliopsida; Asparagales; Asparagaceae
Exons: 4
Source: RefSeq, a predicted model, not a curated record